UUAAUCUUCAACGGGCGAUUUCAGACAUUAUAGGUCCACUUAUACCUUGUGAUGAAUUACUGCAGUGUUUGGCAAAUAUUAAAUAACAUUUUUUUGUUGACAUGGAAGUGUGACCUGCAGGCUGCAGCUGGUCCCAGUGUUCGGCACUGUUUGUGUCCUGCCGUCUGGUUCUUCCUCCCUCUGUUCACUUGCUAUUGAAACACAGCUGGUUUACGUCCAUCACAAUCAAUGGAAGGACAUUUCCGAGCUGGUAAUUGCUUAAAGGAUCCGGUGCUGAUGGCUUCUGGAGCUGCCAAUCCAGGGAGCAGCUUUUGGCUCCUGCUGUGUACAGUAUGUCUGCCGUUUGACCAUUUAUCUCACUUUACAUACUUGAAUUGAAAGAAAGAAUAAACAGUGUAAAUCUGUGUCAGACACCAGAUGUCCAUCACAUUACAGCAUGGUGGUCUAAUUCCAAAUAUCUGAAUGUUGCAUGGAUGCGUGAUUAUAAAGAAGCAUAAAAGACCCUCCAGAAUUCCCUGCUCAAUAUUAUCUACUCUUCACACAAGGAUAU
Long non-coding RNA from Lagopus leucura (white-tailed ptarmigan), 550 nucleotides. RefSeq lists it as uncharacterized. The transcript is spliced from 3 exons. The record is from RefSeq and is a predicted model, not a curated record. NCBI's taxonomy places the organism in Eukaryota, Metazoa, Chordata, Aves, Galliformes, Phasianidae.